This is a long non-coding RNA of Diceros bicornis minor, 884 nucleotides long. RefSeq lists it as uncharacterized. NCBI's taxonomy places the organism in Eukaryota, Metazoa, Chordata, Mammalia, Perissodactyla, Rhinocerotidae. The record is from RefSeq and is a predicted model, not a curated record. The transcript has 3 exons.
UCACGGCAUUCGCUUUCUUUCCAUCCAGAUUCCCGCUGCCGAGGGAGCCCGGAGAGACUCAAAGAAACCCUGAGGGCCAGACUAGAUUGGCAAUCCCUGGCUGACUCCUGGUUCUCUCUUUUCACGUUGUCUUUCCGCUUGACUUACAAACAAAAAAAAGUGAGUUUCUCUCGCUGCUCUUUUUGAGAAGCCUCUCCACUUCCAUUCCAAGAGAAAGAGACGGAGUAGAUACACCAGUCCCAACACAGUUUUCUUCAAGAGGAAUGGCUAGUCAUUCUUUAGUUGGUUGUAAGCCCCUGGAAACCACUAAUCUACUUUCUGUCUCCAUGGAUUUAACUAUUCUGGAUAUUUCAUAUAAACGGAAUCAUACGAAGCUUACGCAUGGACAGAGGGGACAGAGAGGAGAGGGCUGCUGUGAGUUUUGGUUGAUGGUAUGGAAAGCUUCCUCUCCCACAACUCGUGAUUGAGACUUGCUGCUGACCUCUGCUGCUUGCCUCAACAGAGAACAUUUUCAGCCCAUCCACUUGAGAGGAAUGCUUCUGAAUGGAGUGUGUUCUUUUAUUGUUCCUUUGGCCCCUGAAGAACAGGUCUUCGAGGAGCAGCAGUGCUCACUGGGUUCCCCUCCCUGCUCCAGGGCCUGAAACCUCUCCAGACAAAGCUGGGGCGACCUUAGGCUCGCCUCAUUUGUUCCUCUUUUCUGAGGGAUCACUGCCCUUCAUGCCUGAUGUCCAAUGUCUUAGACUGUUGUUUCAGUUGAUUUUCAGUUGUUUCAGGCUAAAGCAUACAUUUAGACCCUGUUAUUCCAUUUUGACGAGAAGAAGAAAUGCCAGUACAGGCAGGUUUAAUAUACUAAUCUCUCUACAUUUUUUACAUGUUUGAAAUUU